RNAcentral lists this ribosomal RNA (400 nucleotides) under phytoplankton environmental sample. Its description in RNAcentral is "partial small subunit ribosomal RNA". It matches the Rfam family "Eukaryotic small subunit ribosomal RNA", at positions 587 to 992 of the family's 1831-position model. The record is from RNAcentral.
AGCUCUGUAAGCGUAUAUCAAAGUUGUUGCAGUUAAAACGCUCGUAGUCGAAUCUUGGCUGAACUUACGCGGAGUCCGCAAGGAUUCUGCGGUUGAGGAAAGCCUUUGUGGAUUGUGUGCGCGGAGGUGUUUUAUUACACUUCCGUUGUACUGCCACCGUUUACUGUGAAAAAAUUAGAGUGUUCAAAGCAAGCGAUUUGCCCUGAAUACAUCAGCAUGGAAUAAUAGAAUAGGACCUGGUAUUAUUUUGUUGGUUUGUAUAAUUUCAGGUAAUGAUUAACAGGGACGGUUGGGGGCAUUUGUAUUCCGAGGCGAGAGGUGAAAUUCUUAGACCCUCGGAAGACAAACAGCUGCGAAAGCGUUUGCCAAGGACGUUUUCAUUGAUCAAGAACGAAAGUAC